Molecule: ribosomal RNA, 253 nt
Filed under: uncultured bacterium
Lineage: Bacteria
Description: partial 16S ribosomal RNA
Rfam family: Bacterial small subunit ribosomal RNA
Source: RNAcentral
UACGUAGGGAGCAAGCGUUGUCCGGAAUCAUUGGGCGUAAAGCGCGCGUAGGCGGCCCCGUAAGUCCGCUGUGAAAGUCAAAGGCUCAACCUUUGAAAGCCGAUGGAUACUGCAGGGCUAGAGUCCGGAAGAGGCGAGUGGAAUUCCUGGUGUAGCGGUGGAAUGCGCAGAUAUCAGGAGGAACACCAAUAGCGAAGGCAGCUCGCUGGGACGGUACUGACGCUAAGGCGCGAAAGCGUGGGGAGCGAACAGG